RNAcentral lists this ribosomal RNA (424 nucleotides) under bacterium. RNAcentral's name for it is "partial 16S ribosomal RNA". It matches the Rfam family "Bacterial small subunit ribosomal RNA", at positions 355 to 776 of the family's 1533-position model. RNAcentral also lists the same sequence under 6 other names. The record is from RNAcentral.
UGAGGAAUAUUGGACAAUGGGUGAGAGCCUGAUCCAGCCAUCCCGCGUGAAGGACGACGGCCCUAUGGGUUGUAAACUUCUUUUGUAUAGGGAUAAACCUUUCCACGUGUGGAAAGCUGAAGGUACUAUACGAAUAAGCACCGGCUAACUCCGUGCCAGCAGCCGCGGUAAUACGGAGGGUGCAAGCGUUAUCCGGAUUUAUUGGGUUUAAAGGGUCCGUAGGCGGAUCUGUAAGUCAGUGGUGAAAUCUCAUAGCUUAACUAUGAAACUGCCAUUGAUACUGCAGGUCUUGAGUAAAGUAGAAGUGGCUGGAAUAAGUAGUGUAGCGGUGAAAUGCAUAGAUAUUACUUAGAACACCAAUUGCGAAGGCAGGUCACUAUGUUUUAACUGACGCUGAUGGACGAAAGCGUGGGGAGCGAACAGG